GAGAUGGGAUUGUGUUACUCACCUCUGCAUUGAUAGAUCAGGUGUGUGUGCCUGGAGCUCCAGGUCAAAGAAUCCAGAAGCAAAGGUUUGAGUGGUCGGGUGGCUCAGAACAGGAUGCCACAGAAGGGAGAAACUUCAGCCCAACCAUGAGGGAUGAGAAGACAGGCUGUCCUGACAAAAGGAUGGAUGAAGUGGCAGAAGUAGGAAAUAGAAAGAAAAUCAGGCUACCUCACCUUCACCAGGGUAAUCUGUUUGUAAGCAGGGUCACCACGGACCAUGACAAUCACAUGAUCAGACUCACCAUAAUCCCUUAAUCCAUCACUCCCUCCAAACAGCAAACACACCUAGAGUCAAACACACACACACACACACACACA
Molecule: long non-coding RNA, 377 nt
Organism: Rhinichthys klamathensis goyatoka
Lineage: Eukaryota; Metazoa; Chordata; Actinopteri; Cypriniformes; Leuciscidae
Exons: 2
Source: RefSeq, a predicted model, not a curated record